UACGUAGGGAGCAAGCGUUGUCCGGAAUCAUUGGGCGUAAAGCGCGCGUAGGUGGCCACAUAAGUCCGUUGUGAAAGUCAAAGGCUCAACCUUUGAAAGCCGAUGGAUACUGUGUGGCUAGGGUACGGAAGAGGCGAGUGGAAUUCCUGGUGUAGCGGUGGAAUGCGCAGAUAUCAGGAGGAACACCAAUAGCGAAGGCAGCUCGCUGGGACGUUACUGACACUGAGGCGCGAAAGCGUGGGGAGCGAACAGG
This 253-nucleotide ribosomal RNA is filed under the name uncultured bacterium. Its description in RNAcentral is "partial 16S ribosomal RNA". It matches the Rfam family "Bacterial small subunit ribosomal RNA", at positions 524 to 776 of the family's 1533-position model. The record is from RNAcentral.